RNAcentral lists this ribosomal RNA (90 nucleotides) under Chloropicon laureae. Its description in RNAcentral is "partial Trypanosomatid mitochondrial large subunit ribosomal RNA". The record is from RNAcentral. Lineage: Eukaryota; Viridiplantae; Chlorophyta; Chloropicophyceae; Chloropicales; Chloropicaceae.
AUCAUCAUCAUUGGCUUUCGCUAAAUCAGCGGCGAUUUGCUGCUGGAGCUGGUAGAAGCGGGCUCGGGUCUCGCUCUGCUGGUGCAUCCA